UACGAAGGGGGCUAGCGUUGCUCGGAAUUACUGGGCGUAAAGGGCGCGUAGGCGGCGUAUUUAGUCAGGCGUGAAAGUCCUGGGCUCAACCUGGGAACUGCGCUUGAUACGGGUGUGCUAGAGGAUGGAAGAGGCUCGCGGAAUUCCCAGUGUAGAGGUGAAAUUCGUAGAUAUUGGGAAGAACACCGGUGGCGAAGGCGGCGAGCUGGUCCAUUACUGACGCUGAGGCGCGACAGCGUGGGGAGCAAACAGG
RNAcentral lists this ribosomal RNA (253 nucleotides) under uncultured bacterium. RNAcentral's name for it is "partial 16S ribosomal RNA". It matches the Rfam family "Bacterial small subunit ribosomal RNA", at positions 524 to 776 of the family's 1533-position model. The record is from RNAcentral.